AGUUUGAUUAUGGCUCAGGAUGAACGCUAGCGGCAGGCUUAACACAUGCAAGUCGAGGGGCAGCAUUUCUAGCUUGCUAGAAGAUGGCGACCGGCGCACGGGUGAGUAACGCGUAUGCAACCUACCUUAUACUGGGGGAUAGCCCAGAGAAAUCUGGAUUAAUACCGCAUAACAAUGUUUUAUCGCAUGGUAAGAUAUUUAAAACUCCGGUGGUAUAAGAUGGGCAUGCGUAGCAUUAGUUAGUUGGUGAGGUAACGGCUCACCAAGACGAUGAUGCUUAGGGGGUCUGAGAGGAUAGUCCCCCACACUGGUACUGAGACACGGACCAGACUCCUACGGGAGGCAGCAGUGAGGAAUAUUGGUCAAUGGACGCAAGUCUGAACCAGCCAUGUCGCGUGCAGGAUGACGGCCCUAUGGGUUGUAAACUGCUUUUUUACAGGAAUAAUUGUCGCUACGUGUAGUGAUUUGAAUGUACUGUAUGAAUAAGGAUCGGCUAACUCCGUGCCAGCAGCCGCGGUAAUACGGAGGAUUCGAGCGUUAUCCGGAUUUAUUGGGUUUAAAGGGUCCGUAGGCGGUCUUUUAAGUCAGUGGUGAAAUCCCAGAGCUCAACUCUAGAACUGCCAUUGAAACUGAAAGACUUGAAUAUGGUUGAGGUAGGCGGAAUACGUUAUGUAGCGGUGAAAUGCAUAGAUAUAACGUAGAACACCAAUUGCGAAGGCAGCUUACUAAACCAUUAUUGACGCUGAUGGACGAAGCGUGGGAGCGA
This 766-nucleotide ribosomal RNA is filed under the name uncultured bacterium. RNAcentral's name for it is "bacterial SSU rRNA". It matches the Rfam family "Bacterial small subunit ribosomal RNA", at positions 10 to 771 of the family's 1533-position model. The record is from RNAcentral.